CCCCAAUUGUUGACCGAUAAAUUCAAAUAUCAGAAAUGAAGGAUAUAUAGAUAUCCGAGGCAGGCUCUAAUAUAAGAAGUUAAUACACUUUCAUUAGCUCUAUCAAUACCCUACUCGCAUGAGUUUUGUAAAUAAGCAAUUGAAGCCAUUUUUUAAGAAUUUUAUUUUGGAAAUGAUUUAGUUCAGCAUCCAUAUGCAUGAUUGUUGAUAGUAUAAAAGACAAGUCAUGAAAAGACAGACAUUUGAUAGGUAGUCUAGGGGAGUUGAAAGGCGGGAAUGGCCAAGAUUCAUCUCAGAUACAAUACAAAUAGAAUCCGAGUAAUACUUAUAUUCUUGAGAACCAAAUGAUAUCACGUACAGUUAUUGCUCUGAAAGAUUAAAGCGAAAGGGAAAAGAAAAGAGAGGUUAGUUGCACAUCAGAGAAGGUGAAUAUUAGUAGUUUUUAUUUGAUUAAAAACUGUAACAAGCAUUAAUAGAAUUCUUGGAUUUAAAGAUUGUUCAAUUAUUUGGCUAUUGCCACCAUGUAAUUUUAAGACACGUAUUUCCUUCUGAACAAGUACUUCAAAGAUAUCAAGAUCGUAGAUUUAUAUCGGUUAAUUUUUACAACCGUAAAUUUUAACUGGUGAACAGAAAAGGAAUGAGGAAAGAAACCAUCUUCAUUGUCAUUUA
This is a long non-coding RNA of Cucumis sativus (cucumber), 669 nucleotides long. RefSeq lists it as uncharacterized. The transcript has 2 exons. The record is from RefSeq and is a predicted model, not a curated record. NCBI's taxonomy places the organism in Eukaryota, Viridiplantae, Streptophyta, Magnoliopsida, Cucurbitales, Cucurbitaceae.